RNAcentral lists this unclassified non-coding RNA (187 nucleotides) under Glomus sp. RNAcentral's name for it is "partial contains 5.8S ribosomal RNA and internal transcribed spacer 2". The stretch from base 1 to 65 matches the Rfam family "5.8S ribosomal RNA", at positions 84 to 154 of the family's 154-position model. The record is from RNAcentral. Lineage: Eukaryota; Fungi; Glomeromycota; Glomeromycetes; Glomerales; Glomeraceae.
GUGAAUCAUCGAAUCUUUGAACGCAAAUUGCACUCUCUUCGGAGAGUAUGCCUGUUUGAGGGUCAGCCUAAAAAAAAAAUCGACAUAGUCGCUGUUUCGUGGUGAGAUUCGUUGGAAAUUGGGUCAUUUUAAACCUUUGGGUUUUAAGUGGGUUAAAAUUUUUUUUUCGAUUUGAGGAAAGGUGUUA